GGCGCUGUUUGUUUCAGAUUUUGAAAGCUC
RNAcentral lists this non-coding RNA (30 nucleotides) under Mus musculus (house mouse). The record is from RNAcentral. Lineage: Eukaryota; Metazoa; Chordata; Mammalia; Rodentia; Muridae.